CAUUUUACCAUAGUUAAUUUUCUUUGUUCUUUGUUUUUUUUUCUGUUUUUGGUAACCAAGUGUUCUCUUCAGGUUGCCAAUUUUUUUUUUUUUGACAACAUCAACUAAAAACUAACUAGAAACUCUAACCGAUCUAGCAAGUCAAACCGGUGGGAUUGAAUCGACAUAAAGCAAAGCUGAAGGAGAACUCUUCGCACCGC
RNAcentral lists this long non-coding RNA (200 nucleotides) under Brassica napus (rape). RNAcentral's name for it is "long non-coding RNA (BNAP_LNC007145)". Lineage: Eukaryota; Viridiplantae; Streptophyta; Magnoliopsida; Brassicales; Brassicaceae. The record is from RNAcentral.